UAUGAGAUAAUCUGGUUUUGGACACGUGAAAAUUAACUUUUCACAGCAGCAAUAUGAUAUGAUUUUCACGUAUCCAAAACCGGACUAUAUCAUA
Molecule: non-coding RNA, 94 nt
Organism: Arabidopsis thaliana (thale cress)
Lineage: Eukaryota; Viridiplantae; Streptophyta; Magnoliopsida; Brassicales; Brassicaceae
Source: RefSeq